CAGAGUAGGGCCCGCUUCGUUAAGUGCCGCCAAAAUGGGGAGUUGUCUGGCGGACGAAGGCGAUGGGACGCGUUGGAUGCGCCGUGGCGCAUCUGAUGGACGCACCCCGAUCCGCCGCGGUUGCCGGCCCGCACCCGCUG
Molecule: non-coding RNA, 140 nt
Filed under: bovine gut metagenome
Description: THF riboswitch
Rfam family: THF (Tetrahydrofolate) riboswitch aptamer
About the family: THF riboswitch presents a pseudoknot that joins P1-P2 and the loop of P3 and two THF binding.
Source: RNAcentral